This 424-nucleotide long non-coding RNA is filed under the name Zonotrichia albicollis (white-throated sparrow). RNAcentral's name for it is "lncRNA (ENSZALG00000010158.1)". Lineage: Eukaryota; Metazoa; Chordata; Aves; Passeriformes; Passerellidae. The record is from RNAcentral.
CUUCUUUGGAAUAAAAUGUUCCACUAUUUGUCUUCCACUUGUUGAUUUCAGCCUCCAGGGAAGAUUUCUAGCUGAUAGUGAUGCUCUGGCUACAGAACAACCUCCUGCCUGUUGCCUGCCUGUGAAGAGACCAGGGUACAGCAGAGGCUGAAGAGUCUUCACUAUAAGAGAAAUUACCUUGAGGAGGAAGCAACUCAUCCCUACUGACAUUGCAAAAGAAGGUGGCAGUCAAGGACAGUGCUUGGUGACCAGUCACUCACAACCUGCAAGAUUCUGUGAAAUGAAGUCCAGUCAUUCUUGGCCAAGGAAUGUCAGUCUUCAGUCACUGGACAAGAGGAUACCUUCAAAUACAGAUGAAAAUCACAGCUCCUGCUAAAAUCAUGGGUGGAAAGAUAUCUGUGUAUAGGGUACUGCUCUAGGACAG